This 306-nucleotide signal recognition particle RNA is filed under the name Nelumbo nucifera (sacred lotus). RNAcentral's name for it is "Plant signal recognition particle RNA". It matches the Rfam family "Plant signal recognition particle RNA". Lineage: Eukaryota; Viridiplantae; Streptophyta; Magnoliopsida; Proteales; Nelumbonaceae. The record is from Rfam by way of RNAcentral.
GCCGAGCUCGGUAGCGUGAGCUUGUAACCCUGAGCGGGGGCAUCAAGAUGGUCGUACAUAAACUCGAUCCGACGGGUGGGAUCUGUAGAGGCUUGACCCGGUUCGCCCGGUUCCAAGUAAGGAGUUGGGCCAUGCGAUUCGGGCGAAGGCUCGGGUUUCAUGGUCCUUAGAACGGAGGGCACCGCGUCAGGCUGGUUUCACAGAGCAGCGACAACCUCCCGCUCCCGUCGGUGGAAGGAUAACGAAUCGUUGCCUUUCUGUCCCACUGAUGCCUUAGGAUCCGAGUUCAAUCGGACGGCCAUCUUU